Molecule: ribosomal RNA, 369 nt
Filed under: uncultured organism
Description: bacterial SSU rRNA
Rfam family: Bacterial small subunit ribosomal RNA
Source: RNAcentral
CGAAGGGUGCUAGCGUUGUUCGGAAUCACUGGGCGUAAAGCGCGCGUAGGCGGCUUUUCAAGUCAGGGGUGAAAUCCCACAGCUUAACUGUGGAACUGCCUUUGAAACUGUAAAGCUGGAGUGUCGGAGGGGAUAGCGGAAUUGCUAAUGUAGAGGUGAAAUUCGUAGAUAUUAGCAGGAACACCGGUGGCGAAGGCGGCUAUCUGGACGACAACUGACGCUGAGGCGCGAAAGCGUGGGGAUCAAACAGGAUUAGAUACCCUGGUAGUCCACGCUGUAAACGAUGGAUGCUAGCCGUUGGAGGGAUACCCUUCAGUGGCGCAGCUAACGCGUUAAGCAUCCCGCCUGGGGAGUACGGUCGCAAGAUUA